Molecule: ribosomal RNA, 459 nt
Filed under: uncultured bacterium
Lineage: Bacteria
Description: partial 16S ribosomal RNA
Rfam family: Bacterial small subunit ribosomal RNA
Source: RNAcentral
CCUACUGGAGACAUCAUUGAGGACUAUUGGUCAAUGGCCGCAGGGCUGAACCAUCACAGUCGCGCGCGGUCUUCCUUUCCUCUUUCUUUUCCCCCUCUUUUUUCCUUUAGCAAAGGGCGCCACGUGUGGCGCUUUGCGAGUACCUGAAGAAAAAGCAUCGGCUAACUCCGUGCCAGCAGCCGCGGUAAUACGGAGGAUGCGAGCGUUAUCCGGAUUUAUUGGGUUUAAAGGGUGCGCAGGCGGAAUGUCAAGUCAGCGGUAAAAUUUCGGGGCUCAACCCCGUCGUGCCGUUGAAACUGGCGUUCUUGAGUGAGCGAGAAGUAUGCGGAAUGCGUGGUGUAGCGGUGAAAUGCAUAGAUAUCACGCAGAACUCCGAUUGCGAAGGCAGCAUACCGGCGCUCAACUGACGCUCAUGCACGAAAGCGUGGGUAUCGAACAGGAUUAGAUACCCCAGUAGUC